UUUAUGGAGAGUUUGAUCCUGGCUCAGGACGAACGCUGGCGGCGUGCCUAAUACAUGCAAGUCGAGCGAACAGAAAAGGAGCUUGCUCCUUUGACGUUAGCGGCG
Molecule: ribosomal RNA, 105 nt
Filed under: Lysinibacillus capsici
Lineage: Bacteria; Bacillati; Bacillota; Bacilli; Caryophanales; Bacillaceae
Description: partial 16S ribosomal RNA
Rfam family: Bacterial small subunit ribosomal RNA
Source: RNAcentral